This is a long non-coding RNA of Sinocyclocheilus anshuiensis, 458 nucleotides long. RefSeq lists it as uncharacterized. The record is from RefSeq and is a predicted model, not a curated record. The transcript is spliced from 3 exons. NCBI's taxonomy places the organism in Eukaryota, Metazoa, Chordata, Actinopteri, Cypriniformes, Cyprinidae.
AAGUAAAUAGGGAAACGUUUGAAAUAAAGAUUACUGAAAAUAAUGCAUCAAUUAUAUAUAUAUAAUACUUUAUUUUUACUUUUCAGGAGGCUAUUAUUGAACAACUCCAUUCAAACUGCACAGUAAGAAAUGUCAGCAUGUCGAAGGAGCCAAAAAAUACACAGUCCAUCCACAGAAAAAUCUGCAGGGUUAACGGAAAACUGAGCAGAAUCGAGAGGGAGUCAGAUAAUGUAAAUGGACAACUGAAAGUUGUGUUAUAUAAACUUGUGGAAGAAAUAAAUGCAUCCUUGAGAUGUUGGUGCCAUGGAAAGAGAGAGGGGACAAAUAAGCCAAUACAGCAAAUACGAAAGUGGAAGCCUUGCAGAGUGAAAGACAUUCUCGCCAACUUACAGAGACACUUUGAACAAUACAAUGCCUAUCUGUCACUCAGCACAGACCUUCCAGAGCGUGGGAAGACU